Molecule: ribosomal RNA, 253 nt
Filed under: uncultured bacterium
Lineage: Bacteria
Description: partial 16S ribosomal RNA
Rfam family: Bacterial small subunit ribosomal RNA
Source: RNAcentral
AACGUAGGAGGCAAGCGUUAUCCGGAAUUACUGGGCGUAAAGGGCGUGGAGGCGGUAUGGCAAGCCGGAUGUGAAAGCUCCUGGCUCAACUGGGAGAGUGCGUUCCGAACUGCCGAACUAGAGGCCAGGCGAUGGGGGUGGAAUUCCCGGUGGAGUGGUGAAAUGCGUAGAGAUCGGGAGGAACACCAGUGGCGCAAGCGGCCCCCAGGCCUGAGCCUGACGCUGAAGCGCGACAGCGUGGGGAGCAAACAGG